CUGCCGCAGCAGGGGCAGGUGGGAGCCAGUUGGGGUCUCCAGGGAAGCUCGGUGUUGUUCCAGUUGCUUCCUUGGAGGUGGAGGGCGCUGCUCAAGGCAUCUUGUGUGUGCUCCUUGGCCCUUUAGAAAUAUGCUCACCAACCGUCCCGGUUUGCCCAGGACCGAGGGGCGCUCCUGGGAUGCAGGACUUUGGUCAGCGCUACAACUAGAAAACCCCAGAUGGUUAUUUGCCAUUAAAAUGUGCCCCAGAGGAGAAGCUAUGGGGAAGGAGUGACCGCCACCACCACCUCUGAGAGCUGAGAGGAGCCAGUCCCGUGUACAUGAUGGAGCUGGAUUAGAUCCAGGCUGCCUGCGGCAGGGGUUAAAGACAGAAGAUUUGGAGUAGAACAUAAGGCCCAAGGAGGAAAGUGCCUCUAAACACCUGUAAAUUUUCUUCUCUU
This is a long non-coding RNA of Equus quagga, 440 nucleotides long. RefSeq lists it as uncharacterized. NCBI's taxonomy places the organism in Eukaryota, Metazoa, Chordata, Mammalia, Perissodactyla, Equidae. The record is from RefSeq and is a predicted model, not a curated record. The transcript is spliced from 3 exons.